GUCCUAGUAGAUUUUAUAAAGUACUAUAAAUAGUUAACUUUGAAAUAGAGGUAUAUUUGGCACAUCAGGCCAAGACUGCGAUUGUGCAAAUUUUAUGUACAGUGAAAAAAAUCUGCCCCACAAAUAUUUAGGUUGAUCUGUCAACUUAUGUUUUCCUUACUCACCUUAUUUACUUGAAAAUAAAGAUUGUUUAAAAGAAAAUCCAUCUGUCAUGAUUUUAAGGUCUCCCCAUCUUACAUCAGGGGUGCCCAAUAGGUAAAUACCCAGAUAUUGCUGAACUACAACUUCCAUGAAGCUUUGCAUGGCCAUGCAUGUCUUUAGAAUGACAAAGCAUCAUGAACGUUGUAGUUUUAAAACAUCCUGGGAUCUACCUUUUGGACACCCCUGUCUUACCCCCUUUACGAACACUUUUGUCAGCUAUCAAUCAAGUUACGCAGCCAGGGAAGAGGAAUAACAGAUGAUAAUGCAACCAGGAAUUGAAAGUCAUUGCUUAAAAUAGU
This is a non-coding RNA of Pelobates cultripes (western spadefoot toad), 500 nucleotides long. NCBI's taxonomy places the organism in Eukaryota, Metazoa, Chordata, Amphibia, Anura, Pelobatidae. The record is from the annotation of a GenBank genome assembly.